GACGAACGCUGGCGGCGUGCCUAACACAUGCAAGUCGAACGGGAUCCAUGAGAGCUUGCUCUCGGAAGAUCUAGUGGCGAACGGGUGAGUAACACGUGAGAAACCUGCCCUGGAGUGGGGAAUAACUCGGGGAAACCCGAGCUAAUACCGCAUACCCUUGGAUGAUCGCAUGGUCGACCAAGGAAAGAUUUAUCGCUCUAGGAGGGUCUCGCGGCCUAUCAGCUAGUUGGUGGGGUAAUGGCCUACCAAGGCAACGACGGGUAGCUGGUUUGAGAGAACGACCAGCCACACUGGGACUGAGACACGGCCCAGACUCCUACGGAGGCAGCAGUGGGGAAUCUUGCGCAAUGGGCGAAAGCCUGACGCAGCAACGCCGCGUGC
This 381-nucleotide ribosomal RNA is filed under the name uncultured bacterium. Its description in RNAcentral is "bacterial SSU rRNA". It matches the Rfam family "Bacterial small subunit ribosomal RNA", at positions 28 to 404 of the family's 1533-position model. The record is from RNAcentral.